CUGGCUUUGGCAGCAGGUGUACCAAGGCUGCAGCGACACAGAGAAGAUUAGCGUGCCCUGCGCAAGGAGGACACACAAAUUCACGAAGCGUUCCAUGUUUUU
Molecule: small nuclear RNA, 102 nt
Organism: Sciurus carolinensis (gray squirrel)
Lineage: Eukaryota; Metazoa; Chordata; Mammalia; Rodentia; Sciuridae
Source: RefSeq, a predicted model, not a curated record